RNAcentral lists this small RNA (257 nucleotides) under Saimiri boliviensis boliviensis (Bolivian squirrel monkey). RNAcentral describes it as "Metazoan signal recognition particle RNA (ENSSBOG00000003020.1)". Lineage: Eukaryota; Metazoa; Chordata; Mammalia; Primates; Cebidae. The record is from RNAcentral.
GCUGGGCAUGGUGGCAAGUGCCUGUAAUCCUAGCUACUCAGGAGGCUGAGGCAGGAAGAUCGCUUGAACCUGGGAGGUGGAGGUUGCAGUGAAUCAAGAUUGCACCACUGCACUCCAGCCUGGGUGAUAGAGCUAGAUUCCUCACAAAAAAAUCUGAAAUUCUGAAGGUGGAGUUUGACCCUAGGCUAGAGUGCAGUUGUGUAAUCUCAGCUCACUGCAACCUUCACCUCCAGUGUUCAAGUGAUUCUCCUGCCUCA